GACGAACGCUGGCGGCGUGCCUAAUACAUGCAAGUUGAGCGAUGAAGCUUGGUGCUUGCACCAAUUUGAAGAGCAGCGAACGGGUGAGUAACGCGUGGGGAAUCUGCCUUUGAGCGGGGGACAACAUUUGGAAACGAAUGCUAAUACCGCAUAACAACUUUAAACAUAAGUUUUAAGUUUGAAAGAUGCAAUUGCAUCACUCAAAGAUGAUCCCGCGUUGUAUUAGCUAGUUGGUGAGGUAAAGGCUCACCAAGGCGAUGAUACAUAGCCGACCUGAGAGGGUGAUCGGCCACAUUGGGACUGAGACACGGCCCAAACUCCUACGGGAGGCAGCAGUAGGGAAUCUUCGGCAAUGGACGAAAGUCUGACCGAGCAACGCCGCGUGAGUGAAGAAGGGUGUCGGAUCGUAAAACUCGGUUGGUAGAGAAGAACGUUGGUGAGAGUGGAAAGCUCAUCAAGUGACGGUAACUACCCAGAAAGGGACGGCUAACUACGUG
This 497-nucleotide ribosomal RNA is filed under the name uncultured bacterium. RNAcentral describes it as "partial 16S ribosomal RNA". It matches the Rfam family "Bacterial small subunit ribosomal RNA", at positions 28 to 507 of the family's 1533-position model. The record is from RNAcentral.